AGAACGAACGCUGGCGGCAGGCCUCAAACAUGCAAGUCUAGGGGGUGUAGCAAUACAUCACCGGCGGACGGGUGCGUAACGCGUGGGAAUGUACCUAUUGGUUCGAACAACCCAGGGAAACUUGGGCUAAUACCGAAUGUGCCCGAAAGGGGAAAGAUUUAUCGCCAAUGGAUCAGCCCGCGUAGGAUUAGCUAGUUGGUGGGGUAAUGGCCCACCAAGGCUCCGAUCCUUAGCUGUUCUGAGAGAAGAUCAGCCACACUGGGACUGAGACACGGCCCAGACUCCUACGGGAGGCAGCAGUUGGAAUCUUGACAAUGGGGAAACCCUGAUCCAGCCAUGCCGCUGAGUGAUGGAGCCUUGGUUGUAAAACUCUUUCGCGCACGACGAUAAUGACGGUAGUGCGAGAAGAAGCUCCGGCUAACUUCGACGCCAGCAGCCGGC
Molecule: ribosomal RNA, 441 nt
Filed under: uncultured bacterium
Lineage: Bacteria
Description: SSU rRNA
Rfam family: Bacterial small subunit ribosomal RNA
Source: RNAcentral